UGAGGAAUAUUGGUCAAUGGGCGCAAGCCUGAACCAGCCAUGCCGCGUGCAGGAUGAAGCAUCUAUGGUGUGUAAACUGCUUUUGUACGGGAAGAAACACCUCUACGUGUAGAGGCUUGACGGUACCGUAAGAAUAAGGAUCGGCUAACUCCGUGCCAGCAGCCGCGGUAAUACGGAGGAUCCAAGCGUUAUCCGGAAUCAUUGGGUUUAAAGGGUCCGUAGGCGGUUUUAUAAGUCAGUGGUGAAAUCCGGCAGCUCAACUGUCGAACUGCCAUUGAUACUGUAGAACUUGAAUUAUUGUGAAGUAACUAGAAUAUGUAGUGUAGCGGUGAAAUGCUUAGAUAUUACAUGGAAUACCCAUUGCGAAGGCAGGUUACUAACAAUGGAUUGACGCUGAUGGACGAAAGCGUGGGGAGCGAACAGG
This 424-nucleotide ribosomal RNA is filed under the name Bacillota bacterium. Its description in RNAcentral is "Firmicutes bacterium partial 16S ribosomal RNA". It matches the Rfam family "Bacterial small subunit ribosomal RNA", at positions 355 to 776 of the family's 1533-position model. The record is from RNAcentral. Lineage: Bacteria; Bacillati; Bacillota.